RNAcentral lists this unclassified non-coding RNA (347 nucleotides) under fungal sp. RNAcentral describes it as "partial internal transcribed spacer region". The stretch from base 1 to 46 matches the Rfam family "Eukaryotic small subunit ribosomal RNA", at positions 1786 to 1831 of the family's 1831-position model. The record is from RNAcentral. Lineage: Eukaryota; Fungi.
AAGUCGUAACAAGGUUUCCGUAGGUGAACCUGCGGAAGGAUCAUUAUCACGUAUCCACGUAUCAACCAUUGUGAACUAGUCGGUGACAUUUUGUUAGGGAGAUGAGAGGUAGUGUUACAAUUUUUUUAAUUGUAACCAACAAACGAAAGUUUGUUACUCUUAUUUCUUAUUUUCAAAAUGUUUUACCAUUUUAUUAACAAUUCAAACCCUAUUUUAAUAUAACUUUGAACUGAAUUAAUUUCUUACUUUUUUUUCGCAAGAAAAUUAAGAAGAAAUAAAUUUUACGAAACAUAAGAACAACUCUUAGCAACGGAUAUCUUGGUUCUCGUAAAGAUGAAGAACGCAGC